Non-coding RNA from Cinara cedri, 386 nucleotides. NCBI's taxonomy places the organism in Eukaryota, Metazoa, Arthropoda, Insecta, Hemiptera, Aphididae. The record is from the annotation of a GenBank genome assembly.
UAAUUCGGUUCAAAAUGUUCGUGAUGGAGACCUGAAAUUAUCACCAACAGCAUUAGCCAUUUUCAGACGCGGUAUUUUCGUUUUUUUUUUUUUCGCGGUAUCGCCCACCUCGGGAUUGCGUUAUUAUUUAUUACUUUUCACGUACAACAUCGCGAUAGUAUUGCCGUAAUAAUCGCGGACGCGGUUCGACUCCCCGUCGUUAUCGUUAAAAAUAUCCCGAAAUUAAAUAGUUACUACACCACCGCGGCGAUAGUUUCGCGCAAACCAGUAAUAUCGCCGGUGCGCGUAUACGGGCCGUAAUAAUACGUGCCCGCCGAUACGUUAUUUCUCGAACGAAUAGUACGCGUCGAUACGUACGCACGUGUAGUGUAAUAAUAUAUGUUGUG